RNAcentral lists this ribosomal RNA (253 nucleotides) under uncultured bacterium. RNAcentral's name for it is "partial 16S ribosomal RNA". It matches the Rfam family "Bacterial small subunit ribosomal RNA", at positions 524 to 776 of the family's 1533-position model. The record is from RNAcentral.
UACGUAGGGGGCGAGCGUUGUCCGGAAUCAUUGGGCGUAAAGCGCGUGUAGGCGGCCCGGUAAGUCCGCUGUGAAAGUCCAGGGCUCAACCCUGGGAUGCCGGUGGAUACUGUCGGGCUCGAGUCCGGAAGAGGCGAGUGGAAUUCCUGGUGUAGCGGUGAAAUGCGCAGAUAUCAGGAGGAACACCGAUGGCGAAGGCAGCUCGCUGGGACGGUACUGACGCUGAGGCGCGAAAGCGUGGGGAGCGAACAGG